UUCAUGUCUCAAUGGAGCAGACAAAAUCAAGGAUAACUGGAAGAUUUGCCUUGUGAAGCAGCAACAGAAAAAUGAUCUAAAGCCAGGAAUGGAGAAGUGAAUAUCUAUCUAUCUAUCUAACUUACACAUUCUUGUCAAAGUCAUAUUUACAGUCACUUCAUAGAUUGACACACACACAAAAAAAACCAGGACCUUUACUAAAUGACAGGUGUAUAUACUUUUUUUGUCAAAACAAAUUUCCUUGCCCUGUAUUGCUAAUUUUUAAUUCAUUUAUGGUACUCAUCAGAUUGACAUUGAUUCACCCUAUCAUCCUCCUUAGUUGAGACCCCAUUUUUUUCUAUAUUUUAGUCUACUAUUUGAAUAUCUUUUCUUCUCACCAUAAAUACACAUUAACACAAAUUAACUGCUUAAUCUGCCCAUCCUUCAUUUCUACCUUUAUUUAGAGCUAUAUAUGUCCGUAAGCAUUAAAGUUGUGUUGUAUGUGCUUUUAAAUAUAUAUGUACAAUACAUAUUUAAUACACACAUUCUACUGCAACUUGCUUUUUCACUCAGCAAUUUUUAUUUACAAUCUAGUGGAAAGAGAAUGGUGAGAACAGCAGGAGGUAUUUGAGUGUUACCUUAAGGUUCAAGCUUCUCUGAGAUUGCAAACUACCUCUCCCUACAAAAAAGUCAAGAUAUUUAUGCAUCAAUACCCCUUAGCAAUGUGACUGUUGGUAAUCACAUCAAAAGGAUAUAAUUCUUCCUGGAACUUGAAUGGGAACCUCGUUGUGAAUAAAAAGAGUUAGAGAGAUUAUAUUGCCACCAUGGAAGAGGAGGAGCUGGAAGGAGAUUCUGAAGCCUUGGGACAAAGCUGGUGCUGCGGCAGUCAGAGCAGAGAGACAGAAUGAUGCCACUGAUUGCUGUGCUUUUGGAGACUGUUCUACUUCUGAAUUUCCAAUUCAGUGAAAUAAUGCCUGUCCUCAUUUAUUAGCCUUUUAGAGUUGGGUUUUCUGGUUUGCUUUGUUUAAAGUAUUCAAAAUGGCACAUACUUCUACUUAGCUUUAAUGUUUCUUCUUUUUAUUUAUCUUAGGCUCUGCUGCUGUCCUGUCCAUAAGGUUAUUUGUUGGUAAAAUAUUAAACUACAGGAAACAUAACAGCCUCAGAAAAGCAUGACUCAACAUGAGCCUGGGACAACUCAGGGUCUCUCUACUGUGCACAGCAUUUGUUCUGCUUUCAAGGCUCCCCACAGCAUCUGAAGCUUUACAUCCCUGGAGGCAACUGCCCAUAUGUUUACCUUUAUUACCAACUGCAGUUUCCAGGCAUCUGCUAAAUUACAAUUUUGAGUGCUUAAUGGUGAUUUCAUUUGUGUAAAAAAAAAGCGGGGAGACUCUUUGCCCCUCAUUAACUUAGAAUGGCAUUGCACCACACCGUAGAGCUGGCAUAUAGGUAUAUUGAAAGAAGUGGGUAGAGCUAAGAGGAUUAGAAGCUUAUGUGUGCCGUGAGGAGGUAAGAAUCAGGUUGUGUUCAUGUGUGUUUAUGUCCUUUCUUGGAACAAUAAAGUAAACAGAUUUUCUCCUCUGAGAGAAAGAAAGUUUCAAUAAUAUAGAAAUAGCUUUGCCCCUAUCUAGGGCCCUUAUGUCUUUUUAACCCCAAGGGGCAUAUCACAGAGUGUAUAGGAGAAUAUGGCAAUAUAUCAAAGGCGAUAAAGGCCACAGAGCUACAGAUGUUCCCCCAUCCUAUGCAAGCUGCUUCUCUAUAGAGCCUUCCAUUCUGCAAAGCUUCCAGCUUGUUCUGUCAUAGCACCUGAUUAGACAGCCGUGCCUCCAACACUCUUGGCUGUCCUUUCUUUCCUUGGUUAACUUCUCUUGUCAGUGCAGUUGAGUUAUCAACAUGGUAUAAGUGUUACAUCAAUACCAUUUCAGAAAUAAAACACUAGCCAUGCAAAGGCUGAAGCAAAUUGUUUUCCAACUAAAUGCUGGCAGCCUGCUCUUAUAGAUUAAGACCAGGUUUCUCCACAAAGCACUGAAGCAGCAAAUUUAAAAGGAGGCAAAUAGAACAUAGACUAUAUAGCAACAGAGAUAAAACAGUUCAUUACCUAGCUAAUGUUUGCAUUUUUCUGCUUUAGAGCAUGUAAAAAAUUAGAGAUAACAAAAUGACACUUAAUAGACGCUGGACAUGUAGAGGGAAAUGUAGCUUUUAAAGACAUUUUUCUUCUAUUCCUGGCAAAAGUAAGCGAGGGAAAGGUGAAUGUAGCAGGUACAAAUCACACAGGCAGAAAAUACAGAGGAAAGACCUAAAGCCUAACUCAAUUCUAUGGAUUUUAAUUAUGGAAAUCUGGCCAAGUCACUCCCCUCCUUGCAGGGAUUGUUAUUACUUUAUUAUGAAAAAAUUGAAACAGUUGUCUUCUCUACUGCACAGGGUUGUGGCAAAAACAAAAUGGCAUUGUGAAUGUAAAAGUUCAUUAAAAACUCUAAAAUGUGAUAGCAUA
Long non-coding RNA from Homo sapiens (human), 2467 nucleotides. RefSeq lists it as uncharacterized. The transcript is spliced from 3 exons. The record is from RefSeq and is a predicted model, not a curated record. NCBI's taxonomy places the organism in Eukaryota, Metazoa, Chordata, Mammalia, Primates, Hominidae.